AAAAGCCAAAAAAAAAAAAAAAAAAAAAAAAAAGACUGCAUUUACACCUCCAGCUCCCACCUCUUCCCCGAGGAUCUCUGCAGACAACUUCCAGGUAUGAAUCAGCUUUUAGAUAUUAAAAGGCACCUCAGUCUCACCACAUUCAACCUGAACUCAUGAUCUGCCCCAAACCUGAUUCUGUUCCAGUGUUCCCAAUCUCUGUGAAUCAUUUUCAUCAUAUGUUAGUUAUGCAAAGCAGCAUCUAGAAGUCACUCUUAACUCCUCCUCCCUUUCAGCAAGCCCUGCUGAUUAUAUCUGUUCAAUGGCUCUUGAAUUCUUUAGUGUCUCUGCAACUUCACCGUCUUUAUCCCCGUCCAGGCUGCCUGGGCCAUUGCAGCAGGAUCUUCAUUUGUUUAGCUUUGCUCACCCACUCUGACCUGCAGCUGGUUCACUCACUGCACUAAAGCUGAUUGAUCUGAAUUAUUUAGGAUUCUCAUGGCUGGAACCAGUCCCAGGAAGGUUUUCCCUAUGUGGUGGCGCCUGCCCCAUGCCUCUAGGCUUACACCCUGCUAGAUGAGUGACCCCUCUGUCAACAUAUAGAUGGUAUUCGAAGGCAGUGGACUAGAUGAGCUUUGCCAGGGAUGGUUAUGCGAAGAGAAGAUGACCACGUCAGAAUCCCGGGGCCCGGGCUGCACCUGGUUGAUUGAGAAGGAAAUAGCCAGGAUGCUUGUUGCUCCUAGGACCCAAUCCAGCCUCAUUCACCCAAAAAGGGGGUGCCCCGAAUAUUUGGUCAAAUCAAGAAAGCAUCUGUCCUUUCCCCACUUUUUUUUUUGUUUUUGUUUUUUCUUUUUCUUUCUCUAAGCUUCAUUUCUCCAAGACUUAGGGGCUCUGAGUCACGCAGAGGACUCCCUCAUCUAUUGCUGUGUUCCCAUCCCCAGGUUUCUGGGAGUUUGACUCCCCCCCCAUCCACAAGUUAACACCCUUUUCCUGGGUGUAGUUGAUUGCUUUAGAGAUAAGCACCUGACUGAGGCUGGCCGAUCUUUCCCAGGAAUUUGGAAGCAAGGCUGAGGCUGCAGCGCAGACUCCCGCGAUAAAGAGGACUUCCGGUUUCCCCCGGAAGCGCUCAGGAGUCUCCAGUUCCAGCCUCUUCCGAGCCUGUGUUUGAGGCCUAGCCAGAUCUCUGCCCUGAGUUCUGGGUUCUCUUUGGAUGGUUCGUAUUCCUAGGCUGUGUCUUCACGCAAAUAUGUGGCAGUGCAGUGCUGGAAGCCCCUCGCAUGUGAGCAGUUUGUGGAUACAUGGGCCCUGCACGGGGAGCCUGGUAAAGAAUAGCAAAGGCUUAACCCGUCCUGACACAAUGCAGCCGUCCUGCGUGCAACUGAGAACGCGCGCUCACCCCUUCCCCCGGAAGAGGAAGUCAAGUCCUUGAGUGCUGUUGACUCUUCUGGUUGGCCUCUCACCUAAACGCUGUGCUGUGAGACUCUCCAAGCGGAAACGCUGUGAGCUGCCUGGAAUCUGAACUCAAUGCUUGGAGACUCAGAAGCCACUUAUAAUCAUGAAGAUGAAAGCCACAGAGCACAGCAGAUCUGAAAGAUGGAGGGACCAUGACCUCAGUCUUGGAUGCCCUACUGCAGACAUGUUAGUAUUUACAGAUGGCCACCGUGUCACACAACUGCUGUGGAAACAUUCCCAGAAUCCCAUGUGUGUGCCCACCUUGGAGCCGUGUGCAGCAAGGCAGCCCUCCGGGGGUACAGAUGGAGGUAGAGAAUUUGUGAGAUCAGCUCUUCCCUUUAAGGCCAAGUCCUUCAACGCAUGCAGAGAAGGCCAGUGUAAGAAGAUCAAGGGAGAAUUCCAGCUGGCUUCCUGGAGUGCAGGUGCCCAGCCUUAACCUGGCACUCACACUUUUGCCAGGGAGAGAGUGAAGUCUAAAUAUCCUCAGGGAUUAGCUCGUUUCCUGGGACGAUCCCACUGUGUAGUCCCUGCUAUGGGCAGGAUUAACCCAUCUUUCCCGGAGCCCCACCUGGAGGAAGGAACAGGCAAUCCGGGGGAGUCCUGCAUCUGAGAAUGGUCCAGCUUUCUCUCUGAGCACCCAGCUUCCCCCAGGGAGUGCUGUGAACCCCGAAUGACCCUCAGCCUCCUCGCUUGGACUGCCAACAGGAAGUGGAUUGAAGGUCCUCACGCAGUGUAGCCCCGGAACCCUAGCGUGCUGAUCCGGGUGUGCCGUAGCCCCUGCUACAACUCGCCCAGGUGUUGCCUUUGAGCCGUCCCUGAUGCUAGAGCCUGAGCGGACCAAGACCUUCUCCUUUCCACAACCAGCCUCCGUUGUGUUCCUGAGGCAGUUUGGAUGGACAGGCCGAUAAGACUUCGCUUCGCCUCUAAAGGACGUCGUUGGGAUCGGGGUCCCUGUGAGCAGAAGCUUACAAUCCUCGCACGGGAGGAGAACACAUUGGAAAAUAUACAGAAUCAACCUUCAUCUGGGGAACACUGAAAUAAGUUCUAAUGAAAUGCAAAAAAAAAAAAAAAAAAACCAUUCAUUUUAUGAGAGAAAUGAGCAUGUAAAGUAAAUAAAAG
Sus scrofa (pig) is the source of this 2547-nucleotide non-coding RNA. NCBI's taxonomy places the organism in Eukaryota, Metazoa, Chordata, Mammalia, Artiodactyla, Suidae. The record is from RefSeq and is a predicted model, not a curated record.